RNAcentral lists this transfer-messenger RNA (359 nucleotides) under Oscillospiraceae. Its description in RNAcentral is "JAAYBW01 sp012729975 Standard tmRNA". It matches the Rfam family "transfer-messenger RNA". Rfam says of the family: Bacterial tmRNA, also known as 10Sa RNA or SsrA, is named for its dual tRNA and mRNA-like properties. Its role is to liberate the mRNA from a stalled ribosome. The record is from RNAcentral. Lineage: Bacteria; Bacillati; Bacillota; Clostridia; Eubacteriales. RNAcentral also lists the same sequence under 1 other name.
GGGGGCGUACCGGUUUCGACGGGGGCACGGGUGCGGGAUAAGCGGGCAAAGGCGCCUUCCCUUUUCAAAAAGGGCAAAACAAAAUUAACUGAGAACAACAAUUCUCUUCCGGUAGCCGCUUAAGGCUACCCGUCCCUCCCCGAAGGGCCACGAGCGGGGUUGGGGCGUGACUUAGUGGCGAACGUGAGCGCGUUAAGCUUUGCGCGCGCCAUGCAUCGAUGAAGCUACGAAACCGGCGGGCGUGACGGCUUGCCCCCGGGGACGAAAACGGAGCUUGACUCCGAAAUAACCGUCUGCGCCCGGAGAAAGUCUCGAGGAAGUGUUUUCGGACAGGGGUUCAACUCCCCUCGCCUCCACCA